CCCUUUCUUCUUUUUGCCCUUCGCGGGCAGCAGGAGGACACCGUAGCAGUGCUUGCGUCCCGAUCAAGCCACGGCUCACCGUGAGAUUGUGAAGGUCCGCAAGUUUCUGCUUGUGAUCUCGGAUGCGGAGCAUUAAGCGGGCGUGGGGUCUUCGGCCUCUAAUCGUCCAAUUUGAAGCGUUUUCGCUCGACACGUACGACUGUUGUGCCCGCGGCGAGCUCUCGACCCACAAGGUCGUCUGUCUUC
RNAcentral lists this unclassified non-coding RNA (246 nucleotides) under Prunus hypoleuca. Its description in RNAcentral is "partial external transcribed spacer". Lineage: Eukaryota; Viridiplantae; Streptophyta; Magnoliopsida; Rosales; Rosaceae. The record is from RNAcentral.